RNAcentral lists this non-coding RNA (24 nucleotides) under Cricetulus griseus (Chinese hamster). Lineage: Eukaryota; Metazoa; Chordata; Mammalia; Rodentia; Cricetidae. The record is from RNAcentral.
UAGGUCAAUGGGCUGAAGAGAGAC